RNAcentral lists this long non-coding RNA (201 nucleotides) under Brassica napus (rape). RNAcentral describes it as "long non-coding RNA (BNAP_LNC009565)". Lineage: Eukaryota; Viridiplantae; Streptophyta; Magnoliopsida; Brassicales; Brassicaceae. The record is from RNAcentral.
UAACUACUUAAUAUCCUCUUUGACAGUAUUUAUCAGAUUAAAGUGAUGAUGAAUAUGUUUGAUAUGUAAAGUUGAUUUGCUUUACUGUUGCAGGUCAGAUAACUGGAUUUAAUUGACUUCGCCGAUUCAAGAAUACACUUCCAUGCUUACCCUAAUGAACUAAUUGUUUCCUUAACUUCUCAAACCCAAAACGAUGCAUAU